AUACGGAGGGUCCAAGCGUUAUCCGGAUUCAUUGGGUUUAAAGGGUUCGUAGGCGGAUAAAUAAGUCAGUGGUGAAAUCCCGAAGCUCAACUUCGGAACUGCCAUUGAAACUGUUUAUCUUGAAUUUAGUUGAAGUGGGCGGAAUAUGACAUGUAGCGGUGAAAUGCAUAGAUAUGUCAUGGAACACCAAUAGUGAAGACAGCUCACUAAGCUAAUAUUGACGCUGAUGAACGAAAGCAUGGGUAGCGAACAGGAGUAGAUACCCCAGUAGUCC
Molecule: ribosomal RNA, 274 nt
Filed under: uncultured bacterium
Lineage: Bacteria
Description: partial 16S ribosomal RNA
Rfam family: Bacterial small subunit ribosomal RNA
Source: RNAcentral